RNAcentral lists this long non-coding RNA (472 nucleotides) under Volvox carteri. Its description in RNAcentral is "long non-coding RNA (VCAR_LNC002236)". Lineage: Eukaryota; Viridiplantae; Chlorophyta; Chlorophyceae; Chlamydomonadales; Volvocaceae. The record is from RNAcentral.
CCAGCAGGUGAAAAGCAGAGACAUGGCUAGGAUGAGCCAAGCGCCAGCGCCAGCGCCAGUGCUCGUGCUCGUGCUUAGGGUUUAAGCACGGAUGCCGUGGCGUGUGUGGGGGGGGUGCUUUUGAUGACGAAGGCCGUGACGUGCGGCAUGCUGCCGAUGCUGGCCUGCUACCCGCUGGUGCUGCUACGGGGCCGACCCGUGGGUCAUCACAGCGACCCAUCUUUCGCCAGCCCUGCACCGCCGCCGCUGCUGCCGCCGCGUCACCUUUAGAGCUGGCGCAUGCGUUAUUAGACGGCACCGUCAUGGGCGCCGUCAUGAGUCCCCACUCGCGGCGGCGUGGAUGCUGGCACUGUACGACGGCAUUGACGAGAUGGCGAUAUGAUGACGAUGGCGGCGAUGACGGCCAGCUGCAUCAGGCCAACAGCAGCACAGCCAUCAGCUGCCGAUGAUGAUUAUGAUGAUGAUGCUGACG